This 111-nucleotide transfer RNA is filed under the name Candidatus Aenigmatarchaeota archaeon. Its description in RNAcentral is "tRNA-Ala". It matches the Rfam family "tRNA". From Rfam's summary of the family: Transfer RNA (tRNA) molecules are approximately 80 nucleotides in length. The record is from RNAcentral. Lineage: Archaea; Nanobdellati; Candidatus Aenigmatarchaeota.
GGGCCGGUAGAUCAGUGGUAGAUCGCCACCUUGGCAUGGUGGAGGCCUCGGGUUCAAAGAGCGAUUGAUUCCGAAUUCGUCGGAAUCCGUUCGAAACUCCCGACCGGUCCA